UGACUUGUGGAGCAGAGAGCACUGGCCUUUGGCUUCAUGAGCCUGGAAGAGUGAGACGUUAAGGGAGAUGGAAUCGUGAGGAUGACGGGUGCUGCUGACAGACCUCCAACCCGAGACUCCCAGGGGCAGACGACCUCACUGGAUGUGCCCUCCUUUGUUCCCAUAACUGGCUGGCUACUGGAGAAGUGUCCCUCUUCCAACCAGGCCUAUGGUUUUUUUCAGGGCAUCAACAUCGUGUGCGGAGGUGUGAUGGGCUCCCCCUCAGAAGGAAGCAGGGAGGAAAUGGGAGUGACCACUAGGUGGCCCACCUGGGGUCAAGGAGGGGACGGAGCUGGGUGUGUGUGCAGACACCCGUCAGAGAGGGACCAGAGUUGCCACCAGAUUCAGAGUCAUAGGUCCGUCCAUAAAACACACAGAGCUGCUGAUGCAGGCACUUCCCCCAGACUGGGGCAACCAAUGCCCCUUACUGGGAGAGUGUGGCUUGGGGCAGCCCUGGCCUGAGGCCCCUCUAACCCCUCUACUGCCCCCUGGCUGGUGUCAGACCUGGGGACCCAGAGGACCCCCAGCUGAGUGUAGGCCAGUACUUUACUUUCCUUCAGGGAAAGAGUGGAGAAGAGACAGCAAAGGGGAGGAAAAGUGGCAUGUAGUCCGUUCACAGAAGCCAUACACCUUUCUAAAGGGGGAAGGAUGGGGCCUUUCUGCCAGCCCUGUCAUUCGCCCAUCAGAAACGUCUGGGACAUAAGGCUGAAUCUCCAGCCUUUUCUGCCUCGAAUUCUACUCGUGCACUUCUUUCUCAGGGGAUGAGCAAGAAGACAAUGGAGCGUUCCCGCUGCUCGCUUGCUCUGCAGUGAGAUGCAGUGUGUUGUUCUGGGAGGACGGCAGUAAUGCAAAAACCAAUCCAGCACAUUCCAUGCAUGGGAAAGGCAUUGAAAAUACUUACAAUAGCGAAUUUUUCCUUUAAGCCUAAGCGUAAGUGACUUUUCUUUGGGCGACCGCUCCCAUUGGACGGCUUCAGGACCGCCUUCUGCAGUCAUUCAGGUGUGAAAUGUGCCUUUAAUAUGCCUUUCUUUCCCACUAUUAUGCAAAGUAGUUAUUUUCGGCUAAGAUCAAAUAUGAAAAACUACAAUGUAAAGAAAAAAACUUGAAAAGUGUACGUAUAAAAGGAGUGCAUAUGCCUUAUUUUGUAAUGUUGAGCUCUAAGCUGAGUCAUUGAUCUAGAAGUUGGGGUACAAAGUUACGUUUAUUCAGACGAUUUGGCCAAGCCGGUUGGGGAGCAAAGUGCUGUCUGGGGCACAAUAAUAACAUUGGUGGAAGAGAGAUACCUGCUUCUGUCUCUCACUAUGCCCACAAUGGGUGAUGACACCAGGGAAGCUGCCCUCCUGUUAUGCUAACAGGCAAUGUUAGCAGAACAUGAAAACACACCAGAAGCGUCAAAGGUAUGUAUGUGGUGGGGGGGAGGGAAAGCGGUUUUCCUCUGAGCUUAAUCUGCCCAAAGUAGUUGCCGAGGGAAACGAACAAAUCAGAAUUCAUCAGGAAACCCAGCUCUUUCCUAAGGUGUAGGCAUGUGCCGGUGGGGAAGCCCAGUGGGGAUUCAAAAUUUCUGGAAUUAACUAAUCCGGGGCUGCACCUCAGACACUGCUUCAAACUCAGAUAAUUCCUUCUUGGCCAAUUUGCUCUGCUCUCAGACUUUUAAAAAAUCAAUCCCUUCAAAGUCAGUCAAUCCUAGGAAUGUUCUAGAACUCUCGGUGUUUGCGUCAAUUCCCUGUCCGCUCUGUCCCUACAGCUCUGCCUGGUCCAGCUUCUUUGCCUUUGAGAUUUUGGCCCUAGGGAUCCCGGGGGCUUCACUCAGCAUUGCCCCUGCCAGGCCAACUGCAGGGUGGGGGGUACCCCAACUGCAGCCGCUGCGGUGGCUCCCCUGUGAGUGGGAACAAGUAAUUAAGCCCACACAGAGAAAGGCGGCUCUCCUAGAUGAAUCCCCACCCCUCCCUGAGCCGCCUCACAAGUGCAGAUGGCAUUUAAUGUCUUCCAGCUCUCCCAAGGAAAUCCACUCUGGAAACCUUCAUUUCAGUUGUCCGGCAAAAGCAUCUUCAAGCACUUUGCCCUCCAGGACACCCUCCUCCCUGCUGCCGCUUGCGCUCGGUGAAAGCGCGGAGUCCCCGCCGCUUGCCGACCACUAAUGAGAAAAUUCCUCCGCGUUCGUCUCUAGGGCCCGACCCCCGGAGACACAAAUCCUCUUUGUGUCCAGCUUAUCUCCAGCUGCUGCCAUGAUAAAUAGUCCAGCUCCAGGGAGCCUGGGGAAGCGCUACCCCACAGAACGAAGCACAGAGGGAAGCGAGCUUGAGGAAAUAUUUUAAGGACCAACUCAGACACAUCAGGCUACUUUCUCUCUCGUGGGAGGUGCCUGAGGAAUCUGCCCCUCACCAAGCAGGAAACACUGCCAGUAUUUCUCCCUUGGAAAAGACAAAAAAUGCCCCAAAGCAAAAAGCAGUCGACCAAAAAAAAUGCAACUUUUGUGUUUUACAGUGGUUUCCAGUGUCAUCGGCUUAGCCACCAUCUCCUCCUCGGUAUGGUCUCUACACUCUGGUUUAUUCUGUAAUUCCUGUGGGUUUGGUCUGGUGUGUAAGCACAGCCUGCUUCAUGGGCUAACUCAUGGCAACUUAACAGCAUCUCACUGGAGCUACCGUGGAGUAGUUCUGGUCAGUGCAGGCCACCACAAGGCCAGUGGAGGGGCAGCCUGGCCUUUGCCAUGGAGGGACAGGGAACUCCACCAGCCCUGAGUAGGGCUUGCAGCUUCCGCCUGUGGAUGAACUCCUUCUGCGUCCUGAGCCCACAACAGAUGGACCCAAUGGCUGGAUAGGAGAACCCAGAACAAGCUUGCAGCACCUUCCCCGUCAGUCUCUAGGUAUCUGGUAAAUUCUGUUUGUCAGCCUUCCUUGCUCAUUUUAAAUCCUGGGUCCUCUAUGUCAAGAGCUGUCAAAAAUUCUUUGCAGCAUACCUGAUGAAUUCCCUUUAGGCCAGGCGGUGGUGUGACAUUUCCAAGAGCUCAGUCUUCUGGACAGGCUGUGUAGGUCGUCUGGGAAGUGAUCUCAGGCAUAACAAAGUCGAGGGACAAGGCUGUGGUCAUGGUCAGCCUCCCUGCCCAUGCCUCUCUCCACAUCCCCCCAGUUCAUCAAUCAAUGAUUAUGUAAGUAGUACAGAUACGACUAGGCUGGGGACUUUUCUGGGAAGCACUUGGGAGAGGGGUGAGCUGGGCUCUCUGUGCUCCAGACCAUCCACAAUCCAGCCCAGUCAACUGUGCCAGCUUCAUCUGCUACCACUGCCUCUAUGUUCCGGUACCUCAUUACCCCAAACUGUUCAGAAUCACUUCUGUGUCUUUGUUCAAGGCCAUCCAUCUGCCUGGUCACUCCUGCCUUCCUUUCUCUUCUCUCUGACUUUGACAAGAUAUGUUAAUUUAGCCUUCAGAUUUCUGCUCAGCAGGCACCCCUUCCUCUGGGAUCCCUGCCCAGACACCACCCCCAGCUACUCCUCUGCUCCCCAGUAGCACCUGGUGCAUUUCUCCGUUGUGGCACUUGCCACAUGACAUGGAAAGGAGCUGCCUGCUGGUAUCUCUUCCACAAGUCUCUGAGCAUCUCAAGGGCAGGGGCCUUAUUAUCUUCAUCUCUGACCCCCCGCAGUCCCCAGAACUGCACCUGGCACAUCACAGGAGCUUGAUAAAUUUGAAAUGAACUCAACUUGUCAUUUAAUUUGGAAAAUUAUAUAUGUAUAUAUAAAUACACAUACACACACACAAUCUAGUGCUAAGUGGCAUGGUGUAGACCAAAUCCACCCGUUUCACCCUCCUUCCUCAGGACCUCCACCCACAGGUGGUCUCUGCAGCUGAUCCACUGUAGAGAAGGAUGGAGAAAGGCCAUUUUUAAAGUGGAAAAUGAUUAAUGGGCCUCUGUGUAGCUCAUUUCUCUCCAGCCAGAGCCUUCAUGAACUCUGCUCCCUGAACAGGUGUCCCCUUGCCAUGGAGCCAGCAGAAGCAGGUACUUAGGUCCAGCCUAAUGUAAGAAGAAGGGUCAGACUCCAGUGCCAGGCACCUGCCCACCUCUAGUCAUUGCUCCUCCAGCUGCUCUUAAUUCCAGUUCUUAAUAUUCAUACUUUACCAUCUAGGGCUUCGUUAUUAAUUGGUGCUUUAUUAUUCUAUUUCUAAAGCUCUUAUGUAUUCCAGGAAUUGAGCUAAUCAAUUUACAUUCAUUAUCUCCCUUGUUUUUCUCAAUAGCCCUGCAAGGGAAGUCCUCUUAAGCCCCCUCACCUUUUUUUUAGACCCCUCACCUUUUUUUUAGAUACAGACAAUACCUUGCUGCAUUCAAAGAAUUCACAGACAUGAGCUCAUUAAUCCUUGUAUCUUGUGAGAUGGUCUUUUUCAGCCCUAGUUUACAGAUAGGUAAACUAAAACUGAGGUGAUGACUAAGCAGACUGCCCAAGUCUUACAACAGUAAAAAGGCAGAGCUAGACCUGAGGGCCUAGGUUUUUAGACCUAAGGAGCAGACGGCUUUCCCACCACCACGUGGUUCUUCUGUUUUCAUCAUACCCAUCUGACAAAAAUGUGCAGGAAAUGUUCAUGGCCCAGAAACAUCUUGUGGAGUGGGACCUUCUCUAGGGGUGAAUGCAGUUUCAUUAAAUGCUGAAUAUUCAUGUAGGAUAGGUAUUUAGAAACCCAUUCACCAACUCUGUAUUUUACAGAAGAGGAAACAGAAAAGACUCUGGUUUUUCAGUGUUAACCUGUGCUGGCAUGGUCUCUGAUUCCCCGCAUAACUCUAUGAGCGAAGGAAUCCAAGACCCA
Molecule: long non-coding RNA, 4828 nt
Filed under: Sus scrofa (pig)
Lineage: Eukaryota; Metazoa; Chordata; Mammalia; Artiodactyla; Suidae
Description: lncRNA (ENSSSCG00060002081.1)
Source: RNAcentral